GACGAACGCUGGCGGCGUGCCUAAUACAUGCCAGUCGAACGCACAGUUUAUACCGUAGCUUGCUACACCAUAGACUGUGAGUUGCGAACGGGUGAGUAACGCGUAGGUAACCUGCCUGGUAGCGGGGGAUAACUAUUGGAAACGAUAGCUAAUACCGCAUAAUAUUGAUUAUUGCAUGAUAAUUGAUUGAAAGAUGCUAUUGCAUCACUACCAGAUGGACCUGCGUUGUAUUAGCUAGUAGGUGAGGUAACGGCUCACCUAGGCGACGAUACAUAGCCGACCUGAGAGGGUGAUCGGCCACACUGGGACUGAGACACGGCCCAGACUCCUACGGGAGGCAGCAGUAGGGAAUCUUCGGCAAUGGACGAAAGUCUGACCGAGCAACGCCGCGUGAGUGAAGAAGGGUUUCGGAUCGUAAAGCUCUGUUGUAAGAGAAGAACGGGUGUGAGAGUGGAAAGUUCACACUGCGACGGUAGCUUACCAGAAAGGGACGGCUAACUACGUG
Molecule: ribosomal RNA, 505 nt
Filed under: uncultured bacterium
Lineage: Bacteria
Description: partial 16S ribosomal RNA
Rfam family: Bacterial small subunit ribosomal RNA
Source: RNAcentral